RNAcentral lists this ribosomal RNA (891 nucleotides) under uncultured bacterium. Its description in RNAcentral is "bacterial SSU rRNA". It matches the Rfam family "Bacterial small subunit ribosomal RNA", at positions 47 to 957 of the family's 1533-position model. The record is from RNAcentral.
CUUAACACAUGCAAGUCUAUGAGGAAGUUUAGCUUGCUAAAUGGACUCAUGGCGGACGGGUGAGUAACGCGUAAAGAACUUGCCCUUUAGACUGGGAUAACAGAGGGAAACUUCUGAUAAUACUGGAUAAGUUAGUAUAUCGCAUGAUAUGCAAAUGAAAGCUACGGCACUAAAGGAGAGCUUUGCGUCCUAUUAGCUAGUUGGUAAGGUAAGAGCUUACCAAGGCGAUGAUAGGUAGCCGGCCUGAGAGGGUGGACGGCCACAAGGGGACUGAGAUACGGCCCUUACUCCUACGGGAGGCAGCAGUGGGGAAUAUUGGACAAUGGAGGAAACUCUGAUCCAGCAAUUCUGUGUGUGUGAAGAAGGUUUUAGGACUGUAAAACACUUUUAGUAGGGAAGAAAAAAAUGACGGUACCUACAGAAGAAGCAACGGCUAAAUACGUGCCAGCAGCCGCGGUAAUACGUAUGUUGCGAGCGUUAUCCGGAAUUAUUGGGCUUAAAGGGCAUCUAGGCGGUAAGACAAGUUGAAGGUGAAAACCUGUGGCUCAACCAUAGGCUUGCCUACAAAACUGUUGAACUAGAGUACUGGAAAGGUGGGUGGAACUACACGAGUAGAGGUGAAAUUCGUAGAUAUGUGUAGGAAUGCCGAUGAUGAAGAUAACUCACUGGACAGAAACUGACGCUGAAGUGCGAAAGCUAGGGGAGCAAACAGGAUUAGAUACCCUGGUAGUCCUAGCUGUAAACGAUGAUCACUGGGUGUGGGGAUGCGAAGUCUCUGUGCCGAAGCAAAAGCGAUAAGUGAUCCGCCUGGGGAGUACGUUCGCAAGAAUGAAACUCAAAGGAAUUGACGGGGCCCGCACNAGUGGUGGAGCAUGUGGUUUAAUUCGACGC